Long non-coding RNA from Peromyscus leucopus (white-footed mouse), 761 nucleotides. RefSeq lists it as uncharacterized. The record is from RefSeq and is a predicted model, not a curated record. The transcript is spliced from 3 exons. Lineage: Eukaryota; Metazoa; Chordata; Mammalia; Rodentia; Cricetidae.
CCCGGUGUGGGGUCCCCGCCCUGCAGGUCUCCGCGGUGCGGGGUCCCCCCCAGCCUCAGGAUCUCCGCUCUCUGCUGUCUGGGUUUGACCCUCCGUGUCCCUCUGGCUUUCUAGGUCCCAGUGAUCCUCCUGCCUCAGCCUCCCCCUCGUGCUGGGCCGACAGGCCCCGCCCCGCAGGUCCGCAGGCCUUCCGCUCUGGUCCCGCCUCACCUCCAUGCAGUUCCGGUGCCUGGCGUCCAUGACCUUCAGGAGCACUUCCGUGUCGUGCGUCUCCCCGUCCACGGUCUCGCGCCGGCGACCCCGGUAGAUCUUGGUGAAGGAGCCGUGGCCCAGGGGGCAGAAGCAAGAGAACAGAGGUCAGAGGUCAGAGGCAAAGGUUCCCAAGAGCCCCUCCCGCACUAAGCCUGGGGACCCCCCCCCCCGCCCCCGAACUCGCUCCUGAGAAGGGAUUCGAAAGCGCCGCGCUCUGAGCGGACGGACCAGCCUCGUGGAUUCUAGGGAGAAUCCCAGGCUGGUGCUCUUCAAGGACAAAUGCACACUCCUGGUCCCAGCUCGGAUGUCACCUCCGCCGGGAAGCCACCCUGGCACCAGCAAUGAACCAACCUGCACGCAGGCCGUGAGAAGAAAGCUGUCGUAGUCCUGAGGGCUGCGGCGGAGAAUGUAGGAGCCCGGGGAGGGAGCCCGCGGCCUUCAGCUUGUGGACCGCAAAGUCCAGCCUAGGCCAGGACAGAAGCCCCGUCAGAGCCGCCCAGCUCGGUGAG